GAUGAACGCUAGCGGCAGGCCUAACACAUGCAAGUCGAGGGAGAGGUUACCUUCGGGUAACCCAAACCGGCGCACGGUUGCGUAACGCGUAUACAAUCUGCCUUUCACAUAGGGAUAGCCCGAAGAAAUUUGGAUUAAUACCUAAUGGUAUAUAAGAGCGGCAUCGUUUUUAUAUUAAAGCUACGGUGGUGAAAGCUGAUUAUGCGUUCUAUUAGCUAGUUGGAGAGGUAACGGCUCCCCAAGGCGACGAUAGAUAGGGGUUCUGAGAGGGAUGUCCCCCACACUGGUACUGAGAUACGGACCAGACUCCUACGGGAGGCAGCAGUGAGGAAGAUUGGACAAUGGUCGGAAGACUGAUCCAGCCAUGCCGCGUGCAGGAUGAAGGUCCUAUGGAUUGUAAACUGCUUUUGUAAGGGAAGAAUAAGGAGUACGUGUACUUUGAUGACGGUACCUUACGAAUAAGCAUCGGCUAACUCCGUG
RNAcentral lists this ribosomal RNA (480 nucleotides) under uncultured bacterium. RNAcentral's name for it is "partial 16S ribosomal RNA". It matches the Rfam family "Bacterial small subunit ribosomal RNA", at positions 28 to 507 of the family's 1533-position model. The record is from RNAcentral.